RNAcentral lists this transfer RNA (73 nucleotides) under Candidatus Nomurabacteria bacterium. RNAcentral's name for it is "tRNA-Thr". It matches the Rfam family "tRNA". Rfam says of the family: Transfer RNA (tRNA) molecules are approximately 80 nucleotides in length. Their secondary structure includes four short double-helical elements and three loops (D, anti-codon, and T loops). The record is from RNAcentral. Lineage: Bacteria; Candidatus Nomuraibacteriota. RNAcentral also lists the same sequence under 1 other name.
GCCAGAAUAGCUCAGUUGGUAGAGCUCCCGUUUUGUAAACGGGUGGUCGUCGGUUCGAGCCCGACUUCUGGCU